GAGCUUUUAGGUUAAAAAAACUUAAGGCCUUCAAAGUCUUGAAUAUCGUUCUUUGUUAAAGCUUG
RNAcentral lists this transfer RNA (65 nucleotides) under Lineus viridis. RNAcentral describes it as "tRNA-Trp". Lineage: Eukaryota; Metazoa; Nemertea; Pilidiophora; Heteronemertea; Lineidae. The record is from RNAcentral.